AGAGAGAGACAUGCGUGCAUAUCAAUAAGCGGAGGAAAAGAAACUAACUAGGAUUCCCUCAGUAACGGCGAGUGAAGCGGGAAGAGCUCAAAUUUGAAAUCUUCAAGGUUCUACCUUGACGAAUUGUAGUUUAAAGAAGUGUUUUCUGUUGGAGUUUUGGUAAAAGUUCUUUGGAAUAGGACAUCAUAGAGGGUGAGAAUCCCGUAUUUGACCAUUAUUUCCAGCUUUGUGAUACACUUUCAAAGAGUCGGAUUGUUUGGGAAUGCAGUCCAAAAUGGGUGGUAAAUUUCAUCUAAAGCUAAAUAUUGGCGAGAGACCGAUAGCGAACAAGUACCGUGAGGGAAAGAUGAAAAGAACUUUGAAAAGAGAGUUAAACAGUACGUGAAAUUGUCAAAAGGGAAGCGUUUGACACCAGUGUUGUUUUCUCGAAAAUCAAUUAAAAAAGGCAGGAUUUUGCGUUGUAUUGACUUUAUCAGCUUUCUGCACUCUUUUCUUGUCUUUUUUAAUGCACUUUUCGUUUAACAAGUCAACAUCAAUUUCUUUUGUUGUAAAAGGGUCAUUGGAAGGUGGCUUUCUUUUCGGAGAAAGUGUUUAUAGCCUUUGGCCUCUGCAAUCGGAGAGAUUGAGGUCUGCAACGUAGAUCCUUCGGGGUUAGAUACAUUUGUGCUAAGUUAUAGCCUUUCAUAGACAACUUGUUGACUAUGAUCAGUCAUGUAGCUUACUCGCUUAUGCUAUUUUACCUACGCUUAGGAUGUUGAUGUGAUACUGCGAGCA
This 774-nucleotide ribosomal RNA is filed under the name uncultured Neocallimastigales. Its description in RNAcentral is "partial large subunit ribosomal RNA". It matches the Rfam family "Eukaryotic large subunit ribosomal RNA", at positions 23 to 646 of the family's 3401-position model. Lineage: Eukaryota; Fungi; Neocallimastigomycota; Neocallimastigomycetes; Neocallimastigales. The record is from RNAcentral.